UUCCUUUAAGAACAGUAUUGAUAGACUGCCUUUAUGCAAAUCCCUUUGGAAGAAAGGAUGGAGAGGAAGAAGCCGGAAACAGAUCAGAGGCAGGAAAUACCAAAUUGCAUGUUUAUAAACGCUGUGAAGGAAUAUGACAAGAGGGGAUAAUGCUAGACUGGCGGCCAUGGAAACUGAAGUCUUCUGUUUGUUCACAGGACAGCUCAUAGCCCUGAAAGUCCCAGUUCAAGCUUCCACAAUCAUCCUACACAAGAGCACUGCUUCUCACAGGACUGCCUCAGCCUGGCAGGAUUCAGUCUCCUGCUCUGAGGGAAAAACAGGAAGUCAAGGAUCAAGACCGCGUGCUCAACUGAGAUCAGAAAGGAGGACAUACAGUGACUUGGCCAAAUCACUGGAGAUUCACACAGCAGAGCUCAGACGAGUGCUAUCAGCACAGCUGAGGAAGACAAGAGUUAGGGUGCAAGGAUCCUGAAAGAGAAACAUUGGUUGUGUUUUUAUUCCUUGGGUAUAAGAAUCCUGAAACAGAAAGGCAUCUGAACCUUGGAGGCAUGGGGUUCAUCUCAUCCUCAUCCAGCCUUUCACCAGAAACGUGAGGAGACUCAUACCACUUGAGGUAGUGUGGAUGUGUGGCACAGUUUUGGAGAGGGCUAUUCCCCUACCUUUACAUGGAAUCCAGUAACUCUCUGAAAACAUAGCAAUGGCAAAAGUCCUUUUCGAGACUGCAAGGAAAACAAACAACUACCAAGAGAAGUCCAAGCAUCAGGGAAAGAAUGAAGUGGUGUGGAGACCGUAGCCAAUAGCUGCUUUAUGAGCACAUUUGUGGCUACCCUUGGGGACCCAAGAAAUAACCGGAAAGAGUCAAACUGUUCUUCGAAUAGUUUUUGGAUUGCCAACUGAGCUUUCUUUGAAAGCAAAGCUGUGUCAAUACAAGACCACCAGGCACGUGGAGUUUAUACAGGUGACCAUGUUCUGCUUAAAUUCAGCAUCUUCUCUCAGUUCAAAUUUAAGAAAGGAGAUACCACACCACCUACCGACAUAUCCCAUUCUGGAAGAGUAUACAAACUAAAGAUAGAAAACUUCUCAAAUCUACCUGGAAGCUUGCAUAUUCAAAGGAACUAUUUGUUGGAGUGCCAGAUUAUUUAAGGGCCUUUGCAUGUUUCAAGUCCUCUUCUUAAAAUGAGAAAACCGAGGCUAAGAGAAGUUAAAUAGCUUGCCUGUGGAUACACAGCAAGGAAACACAACACCUAGACUAAAAUCUAGGCCUGUCUGACCUCAAAGCUUUCUUUCUUUGUGCCCAAGACCCUGGAAUGCAGAUGUCCUUGUUGUCAAAGACUGUACCAUUCAUGCACAUAUUGGCUUCUUCAGAAUGGCUUUCCAUGUUCGCCUCUUCAACAUCAAGAACCUUUAUUGGGGUCUGUCAUUUGUUUGGCCUAUACAAGGAUGGAUCUCUGUCUACUGAUUACUUGACAGUGCUGAUUUAUGACCUGCUCAUUGCAUCUUCGAUCUGCCACAUCAACCCAUCGUGUGGAUGAUGAAACAAAAGCUUAGAAAAGUUAAUUUGCCAAAGGGCUCAAAGCUAAAUGGUAGAUACAAGACUGAGACCCAGAUCUCUCUGGCUGCAAAGGCUUUGUUCUUUCCACUGUACAAUGCUUUCUUCCCAAAGGAAUAUAUUUGUCACCUCAAAUGUGGUUCAGCUUCGUAAGGCUUGAGAGUGCACAUUUUCCUUUGUCAAAGAUGAAGAACCAAUUUUGAUACUUCAGAGAACAGUAUCAAAGAAAAUUGCACCCAGAAGUCCAUUCCGAGCAAUAUUUUCCCCACACGCUGCCAACUGAUGCUGAGACAGCUGCACAGGCUUUCCUGAGAAAUGUUAUCAUCAAGGCUGCAUUAUAAUGCAAAAUACACCCGGACACCAAGAUGUAAUUCCACCUUUGAACAUUUACAACGUUGGCUUACUAGUCCAUUGUGCUUUUGGUUUUAUUGGGGGAAAGG
Long non-coding RNA from Pan troglodytes (chimpanzee), 1989 nucleotides. RefSeq lists it as uncharacterized. The record is from RefSeq and is a predicted model, not a curated record. NCBI's taxonomy places the organism in Eukaryota, Metazoa, Chordata, Mammalia, Primates, Hominidae. The transcript is spliced from 7 exons.